UACGGAGGGUGCAAGCGUGAAUCGGAAUUACUGGGCGUAAAGCGCACGUAGGCGGCAAAUUAAGCUAGCUGUGAAAGCCCCGGGCUCAACCUGGGAAUUGCAGUUGGAACUGGUUUGCUAGAGUACGGUAGAGGAGUGUGGAAUUUCCUGCGUAGCGGUGAAAUGCGUAGAUAUCGGAAGGAACAUCAGUGGCGAAGGCGACACUCUGGACUGAUACUGACGCUGAGGUGCGAAAGCGUGGGGAGCAAACAGG
This 253-nucleotide unclassified non-coding RNA is filed under the name uncultured Cellvibrionales bacterium. Its description in RNAcentral is "contains 16S-23S intergenic spacer region". It matches the Rfam family "Bacterial small subunit ribosomal RNA", at positions 524 to 776 of the family's 1533-position model. Lineage: Bacteria; Pseudomonadati; Pseudomonadota; Gammaproteobacteria; Cellvibrionales. The record is from RNAcentral.